RNAcentral lists this ribosomal RNA (253 nucleotides) under uncultured bacterium. RNAcentral's name for it is "partial 16S ribosomal RNA". It matches the Rfam family "Bacterial small subunit ribosomal RNA", at positions 524 to 776 of the family's 1533-position model. The record is from RNAcentral.
UACAGAGGUCCCAAGCGUUGUUCGGAUUCAUUGGGCGUAAAGGGUGUGUAGGUGGCGCCGUAAGUCGGGUGUGAAAUCUCGGGGCUUAACUCCGAAACUGCAUUUGAUACUGGUGUGCUUGAGGACUGGAGAGGAGACUGGAAUUCAUGGUGUAGCAGUGAAAUGCGUAGAGAUCAUGAGGAAGACCAGUGGCGAAGGCGGGUCUCUGGACAGUUCCUGACACUGAGGCACGAAGGCCAGGGGAGCAAACGGG